GGGGUGCUUCAGGUGGCAGCGGCCCAUCAGUGCUGUCUUCAGGAGCUCUCGGCCGUCCUGGACUUUCUCCAGGAGCAUGUGAACAAGUUCAGCCAGACAUGACUAGAAGCAGUCCAGAAAUAUCCUAUGGACAGAAGGGAUAAGGGCAAGGUUGCUGUUUGGGGGCUUUGGACUCAUUCCCAUCUGCUGUCAAGGCAUCUCCAGCAGGAAUAGCAUGUAAAGUGAAGGAGCUCUGAGUGGUUUUAAAGUGGUGCCAUUUCGGCAGAAGGAGAACUGGGAUGGACGCUGAGAGGGAAGGAUGGGAGCCAGGACCCACGCAGCCCACAUCCCGCGGAGCUGCUGCAUGCCGUGAUGUCUCGCCGCACCAGCCUCCGUCCUUGUUUCACCUCUCUCCUGUAGGAAUGCCCUGAAAGCUGAAGGGAAAGGCUGGGCCCGUACCUAUGAAAGAGGGUGUUUCCAAUCUGUUGUCAGAUUGGUUCCUGGCAGCCUGAGCACAAGCCACUGGCGGCUAGAUAGCUUCAUGCAAGAUUAAUGAAGCACAAGCUCCUGCUGCAGGUAGAGCGAGACUCGUGUGAUGCCAGGAAGGCGAUCGGGCAGGAGCCAGAAGAGAGAUGAAGUUUAGUUCUUAUCCUUUUCUUUCUGUUCUCCUACAAGAGGAACAACCAGAGAUGUAAGCUUCAGUAGUUGAAAGGAGAACUUGGCACAGGAAAUAACCAAAUACAAUAUCUCAUGUUAAUCAAAAACCUGUGAUAAAAGAACAGUACAGCCUGUUACUCAUAAUUACUCCUAUCUUGAACUAUGGAGGCUAACAAUAUCCAAAACAGCAAUUUUAACUCCAGAACAGUGAGCCAUCACAAUAUGCAGCACAGUAGGAGACAGAACUGCUCACUGCCUGCCAGCUCCGUCCCUACUUCUGCAUUUCUUACAUGAAUAUUGUACCUUCUAUUGCCACACAUCGGCCCCUCAUCUACCAGUCCUCUGCUCUUCCCACAGCCGGUGGGGGGCCGGUGUCCAUGCUGAGGCAGAACACAGACACCACUUCAAGCCAAAGCUGUGCACGAAGAACAUCUUUCUCCUCGGGGAGCAGCUGGUAGUGGAAAAUGCCAAAGAAAAGCAGCUCCAGAUAUUUCCCUUCUGGGUUUGCAGCACUCACCCAGAAACCUAAAUAUCAACGUUGCUGGUAACAGCUUGCUAACACAAAGAAGAAACCAGUGAUCAAAGAUCUUGCAGUGGAAGAAAUGUGAUGUACUUUGAAUUAUUCUGCACAGAACACAAUCUUCAAAACCAUCAUUUUUGUCUCUACUUGAAAAUUACAGUCUCUGCUUUUGAAUUAUUAGAUGAAGAAACAAGAACCAGCAUUUGUGUGAUGACUGAGAGAUUUCUCUACAAUGUACAAAAUGAAAAUUCAUUACAGACAUAAUGCAACAACAAAGAAAGCAAAUGUACAGACUUGGGUAAAUGGAAAACACAUUCAGCAAAAAGAAACGUUGUGUAUUUAGUGGAAAAUGACACGGUAAGGUGUCUCUGCACACCUCAAAUGAGGACUGUGUUAAUUCCUUUUGGAGCUGGUUUGUUCCUCUAGUUUGGUAGCAGUGGUACUUCACCUGGUAACAGUGGCACUCGUUCUGAAACCCUGCAUGGUCCUUACAGAAAAUACGAGCACACGGCAGUGCAGUAGUGGUGACAGAUGGCAA
Molecule: long non-coding RNA, 1694 nt
Organism: Cygnus olor (mute swan)
Lineage: Eukaryota; Metazoa; Chordata; Aves; Anseriformes; Anatidae
Exons: 4
Source: RefSeq, a predicted model, not a curated record